This is a long non-coding RNA of Zophobas morio, 526 nucleotides long. RefSeq lists it as uncharacterized. The transcript has 3 exons. The record is from RefSeq and is a predicted model, not a curated record. Lineage: Eukaryota; Metazoa; Arthropoda; Insecta; Coleoptera; Tenebrionidae.
UUUAGUGUCGGACGUGAAGUUACGAUGUUUGAAUAAUUUAGUCCAUUUGUAUGAUUUAUUUUUCAUUUUGUGCGAAUAUUUUAAUUUACAAAUGUUUAUCGGUCCCACGUAGACAUCCAGACUCCGCUAGUGCCCCGUUGUUUCUGCUGAGCCAACACCUGUACAUUGAUUCUGGCAGAAUGAAGGUGAUGUGCGGGAGUACCACCCAUUUCUGGAGGCCUUGUUUGAACUUAACCUUCCGAAGCUAUUACAAAUUUCCAUUUUCUAAAUUGAAACUGUUGUGCUUAGCGCAUGCUUCAUGUUAAAGACAGAAGAACUGUGCAUUAAAAAUUGGAAAACCAUGUUUUUUAGAACAGGUGUUUGGAUAACCGUAUCGGAAGAUUGCAGAUUAUUGGAGAAUGCUGGGAAGCGACAAUCCAAACAAUGCGCUCAAACACCUCAAUCUUCUCUUUAUAAAGAAUUUCUUUGCCGGCGCCUUAUAAAUAAAAUCAAAACUAAGUCUUACGAAAAUAUUCCACACGUCUGA